AGAUUGAACGCUGGCGGCAGGCCUAACACAUGCAAGUCGAGCGGUAGAGAGAAGCUUGCUUCCCUUGAGAGCGGCGGACGGGUGAGUAAUACCUGGGAAUCUGCCUGAUAGUGGGGGAUAACGUUCGGAAACGGACGCUAAUACCGCAUACGUCCUACGGGAGAAAGCAGGGGAUCUUCGGACCUUGCGCUAUCAGAUGAGCCCAGGUCGGAUUAGCUUGUUGGUGAGGUAAAGGCUCACCAAGGCGACGAUCCGUAACUGGUCUGAGAGGAUGAUCAGUCACACUGGAACUGAGACACGGUCCAGACUCCUACGGGAGGCAGCAGUGGGGAAUAUUGGACAAUGGGCGCAAGCCUGAUCCAGCCAUGCCGCGUGUGUGAAGAAGGUCUUCGGAUUGUAAAGCACUUUAAGUUGGAGGAAGGUUGUAGUUUAAUACGCUGCAAUCUUGACGUUACCGACAGAAUAAGCACCGGCUAACUCUGUG
Molecule: ribosomal RNA, 484 nt
Filed under: uncultured soil bacterium
Lineage: Bacteria
Description: bacterial SSU rRNA
Rfam family: Bacterial small subunit ribosomal RNA
Source: RNAcentral